Non-coding RNA from Phalacrocorax carbo (great cormorant), 2655 nucleotides. The record is from RefSeq and is a predicted model, not a curated record. Lineage: Eukaryota; Metazoa; Chordata; Aves; Suliformes; Phalacrocoracidae.
CCGCGCGCCUCCCUCCGGCGCGGCCGGGCUUCGGGCGCUGAGGGGCGGAAACGACGCUAAAAACCAUAGUUUUCUUGUGUCGGGUGAAUAAUAUUUUGCCACUGUUUAGCCGAGGCAAAAUGCGGACCGUGCCAGCAGCUCUGUUUUAAAUGGACUGUGUCUACAAGCAAGCUGUUCACCUGUGCUCUGGGAACAGGGUUUCCUGAAUUCAGCAGUCACAAAUUCCAGAGGCUUGAGCUGAGUCUGGAUCUGUGCCCUGACUUGUGGGACAGAGACAAAAUUAUGCCUUGAAUUUUCCCUGAGCCAUGGAGAGGAGUGAAGUCAACAGGUGGUAAUUUGCAGGGGCUGCAAGAAGCCUGCUCUCUGCUGCCCCAGCGAUGGGUUUAUCAACAAUAAUUAGAUCCCCAUCAGGCUUGUGAAGAAGCUGUACUCGUCUGCUGAACUGAAGGCUUCUUUCAGGUGCCCUGGGGCGAUGCCAGUGAACUGGGCACCUAACCUGGGGUGUGUGCACCAGUGCAGUCACCCCUCCUGCUUUGGGCUCUGCAGCAGGAGCAGGAGCUGCCGCUGAAGUGCCUCUUCCUGCAGCUUUUUUGAUGGUGCAGUAGGAUCAGAACAAGUCCCCAGCUGCCUUCACCACGAGCAGCCUUUAGCCUUCUUUGUAACAGCAGGUAACAAACCAUCCUGCCCCCUAGAUUGCUCCUGUGUGCCACCUGGCUCACUCUUAAGCCUUUGCCACAAGAAACCAGGCUACACCUGCAGGUGGAGUGGGGCCAGGCCACCCACAGCUGCCCUCAACCAAAACCUGUGCUGUGCUGGGGCUGCUGCCCCAGAAGUACACAGUGCAAGGUCUUCUCUCUCAGGGGCAAGGGAGCAGGUGAAUGGGAAGUAUUUAAUUUCACGUGUCUGUACCGCUGUUGGAGCACGCUUGUUGCAUGCCAGCAGUGGAAGUCUUAACCAAAACCAAAAGAAAUUUAAUCAUAUGCCUAGUCACGUACUGAGAAACUUAAUCUGCUAUUAAUAUUACUUCAGUCCUCAACAGUGAAGAUCAAGCCUUUGUGUUAUAACUGAAAUUUUAUUUAUUUAUAAUCAUUAGUUUUCUUAGAUUUAAUGUAAGAAUCAUUGCCUCAAAAAAGAAGCUGUUUUCUGGGUUUCUGACUUCUAAUUUUAAGCAGCACUUCAAUAUCUGACAAGGGGAGCGCUUGAUGUUAAUUAUUUUUUGAUGUGAGCAUAAUCAUGUACAAAAUUUGCUUUCAUGCACAGUCUUCUAUGUGAGUUUAUGUUUUUGAAAUGUGAACCUGAGCAGGGAACAAAAUAAACCUUUACAAUCUUCAGAGCUGUUAUAAUCUGAUUGUCAUAGAACAAAAUACCUUGUCAUCUCCCACUACGUGGCUCUUCCAUAUAACUGUUGCUUUGCAUCAUUUACUCUGUUAUACUUCAUUGAUUAUAUUACUUCAAAAUUGUUAUUUAUCCAGCCUAACAGUUGUUCCAGCAAGAAAAGCUAAAUAUUAUGGGCUAAACUCUAUUUUAGAUUCUUGCAAACAAAGCCCUCAUGGUUGAGGGCAUGAACUCAAACAUUUGUGACAUUGGUGACCCCUGGAACAAAAUAGAAUUGGAUUCUGGAUCAAGCAAGAGGAAUAAAGUUGGACUAGAGGAAGAGCUUUUAUCCUUACUAAGCUGCCACUUAAAGCAUUGAGAUUUGGAGGAAAUUUGAUGAACUGAAUUUGCUCCCUCAGCUGGAAUAGUUUUGGCACAUGUAUCUGAAGAGCUAUUUAGCUAUGAGGGAGCUAACCAAUGGUCUGAGAUUAUACACAUCUGUCAGCUAAAUCGAAGAUCCAAAGGCUAAACCCAGCAUUCAGAGGCAACAUGUGGAUCCAUGAAUUUUAUGGAAGGCAGUGUCUAGACACUGAUAAGCAGUUUUCUGACACACAAAUGUUUUAAAACUGUAUGUAAUUGUUCUCAUUUUAGUAAUAGCUUUAAGAAAAUUACUGUUAGGAAGAUGGAAGAAAUGUUUUAUGCCAGUGACCUCAGAAUUGUAGUCCAGGGAUCUAGUUGUGUUUUCAAGUCAUUUAUGCCAUGGAAGUAAUGAGUAUCUCUUUUGUGAUAAAAAGGCACAGUAUAUAGGAAAAAGGCACUUUUCCUCACAGGAAAAGAAAGUCAUUGUUUUGCAAAAACUGUAGACAUGCUAUUCUUUUGUAAAUAGAAUGUAGGUCAUAAUGCUUAGUUUUACUGCAUUGCUACUCUUCGUGUAUUUUCUGACUUCAGGCGUAUUAACAGGACGAAUAAGACAGGAGAAGCAACAGCUCUCUACAUGUGUGUUUAUGUGCCAUUCAGGCAGCACGCGCAUCUUUUGUUUUUUUAAGCACAUGGUUUUAAUUUCAAAAUUAUGAAAUACUACAGAGACAUUAUAAGCCUACAAGUCAUUUACAGCUAUUGCAAUUCUGUUUAAUACAUUUCCAAACAAUUUUUUCUGGCACAGAUGGUAACAUCAUAGCUUCAGAUCUCCUUCCCAUCCAUCGCUGGCUGUUUCUGGGUGUGGGAAGAGGUGAUGAUUAGCUAAGACAAAACUAGCUGUUCACAACAUCUUGUUGAAACUUUGUUGUUAUUGAUGAUAAAAAUGGCUUUGGAAUAAACUAAAGAUUUUAAUGAGAAAAUGCC